Triticum aestivum (bread wheat) is the source of this 115-nucleotide non-coding RNA. Lineage: Eukaryota; Viridiplantae; Streptophyta; Magnoliopsida; Poales; Poaceae. The record is from Rfam.
AUAUUACUCCCUCCGUUCGGAAUUACUUGUCUCGGAAAUGUAUAUAUCUAGAAUUAAAAUACGUCUAGAUACAUCCAUUUCUGCGACAAGUAAUUCCGAACGGAGGGAGUAGAUA